AACGAAAUUGAUUUUUGGGUUACGCGGUUGCUAAACAAACUGUAAAGUUGUCAGUGUCGACAAGAGAGGUUCUAUCCGCCAUGAAGGGGCGGAAGAGUGAAGGUUCGAAUCCUUCGGAGCCAUUUUAGAUGCACCUCGAGAUGUGAAUCACGAGGGAAGGGCCGAGAGUCAAACCAAUGACUUUUCGAGGCCGUGUAAAGGUUUGCACACAGGACGUUAAAUGGGUUUAGCGGAGCAU
RNAcentral lists this unclassified non-coding RNA (238 nucleotides) under uncultured archaeon. Its description in RNAcentral is "16S-23S ribosomal RNA intergenic spacer". The record is from RNAcentral.